GCCGGAGUGGCGAAAUGGCAGACGCAGGAGACUUAAAAUCUCCCGCCGCAAGGCGUACGGGUUCGAGUCCCGUCUCCGGCACCA
This 84-nucleotide transfer RNA is filed under the name Acidobacteriota bacterium. Its description in RNAcentral is "Acidobacteria bacterium (sediment metagenome) tRNA-Leu". It matches the Rfam family "tRNA". Rfam says of the family: Transfer RNA (tRNA) molecules are approximately 80 nucleotides in length. Their secondary structure includes four short double-helical elements and three loops (D, anti-codon, and T loops). Further hydrogen bonds mediate the characteristic L-shaped molecular structure. tRNAs have two regions of fundamental functional importance: the anti-codon, which is responsible for specific mRNA codon recognition, and the 3' end, to which the tRNAs corresponding amino acid is attached (by aminoacyl-tRNA synthetases). tRNAs cope with the degeneracy of the genetic code in two manners: having more than one tRNA (with a specific anti-codon) for a particular amino acid; and 'wobble' base-pairing, i.e. permitting non-standard base-pairing at the 3rd anti-codon position. Lineage: Bacteria; Pseudomonadati; Acidobacteriota. RNAcentral also lists the same sequence under 2 other names. The record is from RNAcentral.